This 319-nucleotide long non-coding RNA is filed under the name Olea europaea (common olive). RNAcentral's name for it is "long non-coding RNA (OEUR_LNC004460)". Lineage: Eukaryota; Viridiplantae; Streptophyta; Magnoliopsida; Lamiales; Oleaceae. The record is from RNAcentral.
GACUUGGGGUCCAUCUUAAUAAGGUCAACCUUGUUAAGAGGAGUGUCCCAAUUCUUUAUAUAUUGGUCAUUAUUUCGGUAUUUUUUACCGAUGUGGGGUUAUAUUCCCUUAACAUGCCCCCGCAAGAUGGUGGCUCGUUUGAGCAGACCAAUCUUGAAAUCCGUGUGCUCAUUUUUAGAGACUUAAUCGGAUCGAAUCGCUCGUUGGAGCUUACUGGGCUCUGAUACCAUGUUAAGACUUGGGGUCCAUCUUAAUAAGGUCAACCUUGUUAAGAGGAGUGUCCCAAUUCUUUAUAUAUUGGUCAUUAUUUCGGUAUUUU